This 1542-nucleotide long non-coding RNA is filed under the name Mus musculus (house mouse). RNAcentral describes it as "long non-coding RNA chr7:36733016-36734558". The record is from RNAcentral. Lineage: Eukaryota; Metazoa; Chordata; Mammalia; Rodentia; Muridae.
UAUGCACUCAGAUAUGAAUAAAAUCCCGAUCUUUUGCAAAAUACAGAUCUGGUACUUGGAACAAUCCACAAUCACUCAAAUUACAAGUUCUGUACAAGAAUGGAGUAAUGCAAGGGGCCACGGAGCCCUCUCAUUAGACGUGAUUCAGAUGUGUUUGAAGCCCAGCCUGGAGAGGGUUACAUAGAAGGAAGGAGGUGAGGAGCCUGGCAGCUGAGAGAGAUUGCAUUUGAGGUGCAGGGUGGGUGGAACCCCACCAUGGAGGUGAAGAUGGUCUACCUGUCCACCCUGUGUUUCAGGGUUUUACACGGAGUGUCUGUUUCGAUGGGGAUCGCCCAUUCCGAAUGCGUCCUCUUCUGCUUGCGGGAGGUGCUCAUCUUCACUGUCUGUGGCUUCAUUUGGCUGAGGUGGUGGGUAUGGUGCAGGCUAUGGCCUUAGUGGCCGGAUGCAACCUUCCUGGAUAACUAGAAUGUUGAGGAUACAGCCUCAUGUGAUCUUGGGACAGUCACAGAGCAUCUUGCUCUUGGGUUCUCAGAGCAUCUGGCUCUUGGGUUCUGGGAGCAGGUGUAUUACAUAGGUGCGAAGGGGAGAUGUGGCCCAGGAGGCAGGGCAGGCUCACUGUAGAAAGAAUGAGGAGGAUGGUGGGGUUAUGACCUGGGAUGCAGGUAAAGCCCCAGAGGUUCAAUAGCAGCCAAUCAUUUGCUUCAAGCUCCCUGCUGCUGGGUGGAUGUGUCAAGCCACCAUGCUGCUGUCUGGAUGUUAGCAUCAGACCCACCCCAGUGACCACCACACUCAGCUCAGAGGAAGCCUUUUUAGACAAGGGCCGGGAUGACUUUGUUUCCUCAGUACCCGAGACCACCCAUCUCAGGGCUCUCCAUUCUCAGCCCCACCAAUGUCCCGGCAGGUUCACAAGUCCAUGCCUGUGACUUAGCCUAGGGAAGAUGGACGGGUCUUAACCUCACAGAGACCUUGCAGAUGUGUGGGGACAGGGGGUAUUUCCAUAUCCUGACAGACAGGUGAUAGUGGGAACAUCCCUGCGUGUUCCUGCCAGAUACCCUGGACCCACAGAUGGUAAGCACGUCUCCCAGGCUCUGGAGCCACCCUCCAGCACGGCAGGCACAGAAGUGGGGCUGCUCAGGAGACACUGGAGCAGAUACCUGGAGAUGAAGUAUCCUGUCUUUAAUUGAUAAUGGGUCAGUGCAGUUUUUUCAUUUUUUUUUAACAGCAUCUUUAUCCCUAUCGAAGCUUAAUAACUACUACCACCCAAACUGGCAGUUGAGAGCUUUCCCUCAGAAGCUGUCCAAAUUCCCUUAGAGGACUGAGUGUUGGAAAUCUUACUAGCAAAUCCUGCUUAUUAACUAGGAGACCAAGACCCUCCUCCUCGAGGGAUUCUUUCCAGACCCCUCUGGGAUUAUGAUUUGCCUAGAGCCAGGCACAGCAUCAUGUACCCCCCAAACCUGCCACACUGUUUGACAUAUCUUCAUACCACGCAGACUGCCUGAACGCUAUUAUUUACACACGUUUUAACUCAAAUAAAUUAUUUUU